RNAcentral lists this ribosomal RNA (254 nucleotides) under uncultured bacterium. Its description in RNAcentral is "partial 16S ribosomal RNA". It matches the Rfam family "Bacterial small subunit ribosomal RNA", at positions 524 to 776 of the family's 1533-position model. The record is from RNAcentral.
UACGUAGGGUGCGAGCGUUGUCCGGAAUUAUUGGGCGUAAAGAGCUCGUAGGCGGUCUGUCGCGUCGAUCGUGAAAACUUGGGGCUUAACCCUGAGCUUGCGGUCGAUACGGGCAUGACUGGAGUUCGGCAGGGGAGACUGGAAUUCCUGGUGUAGCGGUGAAAUGCGCAGAUAUCAGGAGGAACACCAAUGGCGAAGGCAGCUCGCUGGGACGUGACUGACGCUGAGACGCGAAAGCGUGGGGAGCAAACAGG